This 19-nucleotide small nuclear RNA is filed under the name Arabidopsis thaliana (thale cress). Its description in RNAcentral is "snRNA_17937". The record is from RNAcentral. Lineage: Eukaryota; Viridiplantae; Streptophyta; Magnoliopsida; Brassicales; Brassicaceae.
UUGUGCAAUUGGUAAAUUC